UGUCACCUACGGGGCGCAGCAGUAGGGAAUCUUCCACAAUGGGCGAAAGCCUGAUGGAGCAACGCCGCAUGGGUGAAGAAGGUCUUCGGAUCGUAAAGCCCUGUUGUUAGAGAAGAAAGAGCGUGAGAGUAACUGUUCACGUUUCGACGGUAUCUAACCAGAAAGCCACGGCUAACUACGUGCCAGCAGCCGCGGUAAUACGUAGGUGGCAAGCGUUAUCCGGAUUUAUUGGGCGUAAAGGGAACGCAGGAGGGCUUUUAAGUCUGAUGUGAAAGCCUU
Molecule: ribosomal RNA, 279 nt
Filed under: uncultured bacterium
Lineage: Bacteria
Description: partial 16S ribosomal RNA
Rfam family: Bacterial small subunit ribosomal RNA
Source: RNAcentral